UACGUAGGGUGCAAGCGUUAAUCGGAAUUACUGGGCGUAAAGCGCACGUAGGCGGAUAUUUAAGUCAGGGGUGAAAUCCCAGAGCUCAACUCUGGAACUGCCUUUGAUACUGGGUAUCUUGAGUAUGGAAGAGGUAAGUGGAAUUGCGAGUGUAGAGGUGAAAUUCGUAGAUAUUCGCAGGAACACCAGUGGCGAAGGCGGCUUACUGGUCCAUUACUGACGCUGAGGUGCGAAAGCGUGGGGAGCAAACAGG
Molecule: ribosomal RNA, 253 nt
Filed under: uncultured bacterium
Lineage: Bacteria
Description: partial 16S ribosomal RNA
Rfam family: Bacterial small subunit ribosomal RNA
Source: RNAcentral